UCGAGGGGUAUGCUUCUCCGGAAGCAGAGACCGGCGCACGGGUGCGUAACGCGUAUGCAAUCUACCUUUCACAGAGGGAUAGCCCAGAGAAAUUUGGAUUAAUACCUCAUAGUAUAGCAGUUUCGCAUGAAACCACUAUUAAAGUCACAACGGUGAAAGAUGAGCGUGCGUCCCAUUAGCUAGUUGGUAAGGUAACGGCUUACCAAGGCAACGAUGGGUAGGGGUCCUGAGAGGGAGAUCCCCCACACUGGUACUGAGACACGGACCAGACUCCUACGGGAGGCAGCAGUGAGGAAUAUUGGACAAUGGGCGCAAGCCUGAUCCAGCCAUGCCGCGUGCAGGAUGACGGUCCUAUGGAUUGUAAACUGCUUUUGUACAGGGAGAAACACCUCUACGUGUAGAGACUUGACGGUACUGUAAGAAUAAGGAUCGGCUAACUCCGUGCCAGCAGCCGCGGUAAUACGGAGGAUCCAAGCGUUAUCCGGAAUCAUUGGGUUUAAAGGGUCCGUAGGCGGUCAGAUAAGUCAGUGGUGAAAGCCCAUCGCUCAACGGUGGAACGGCCAUUGAUACUGUCUGACUUGAAUUAUUAGGAAGUAACUAGAAUAUGUAGUGUAGCGGUGAAAUGCUUAGAGAUUACAUGGAAUACCAAUUGCGAAGGCAGGUUACUACUAAUGGAUUGACGCUGAUGGACGAAAGCGUGGGUAGCGAACAGGAUUAGAUACCCUGGUAGUCCACGCCGUAAACGAUGGAUACUAGCUGUUGGGAGCAAUCUCAGUGGCUAAGCGAAAGUGAUAAGUAUCCCACCUGG
This 808-nucleotide ribosomal RNA is filed under the name uncultured bacterium. Its description in RNAcentral is "bacterial SSU rRNA". It matches the Rfam family "Bacterial small subunit ribosomal RNA", at positions 62 to 876 of the family's 1533-position model. The record is from RNAcentral.